This 3756-nucleotide long non-coding RNA is filed under the name Betula platyphylla (Asian white birch). The record is from RNAcentral. Lineage: Eukaryota; Viridiplantae; Streptophyta; Magnoliopsida; Fagales; Betulaceae.
GGGGGUGGGUGUGAUGAGGGAGACUAUUUCAAAAGCUUCCUAGGAAGCUUUCAUUGAAAGCUUCAUUUCACCCCUUUAAUUUUUUAUUUUUUACUUAUUACCCAAAAGCUCCAUUAUUCCCUAAAUUGCAAAACUGCCCCUCAUUUGUUUUUAAAUAUUUUCUUCCCCCUUUCUUUUUCAUCACUCAUUUCAGUUCUUACUAUAAUUAAAAUACAUGAUCAUUUUUCUCUUAAUUAUCUACAACCUAAAAAACUCCUGUAAAUCUCUUUGUCCAAAUAAAAUCCCCUGCCUAUAAAUUCUCCUUGAUAAAAUUAAAACCUAAGAUAAAUUCCUUAAUAACAAAUUUGAAAUCUUAUAAACUAAAAUCCCCAACUAAUCAUCAGCACCCUAAAUAUCAAAAUUAUUAUUUCAUCCAUAAAAUAUUACAGUUCUGUGUUAACCUAAAAAAUUAAAACCUCAUUAUUUUGGGUGCUACAGUACAGUUGACAGCAGCAUUUAUUCUCUUAAGUAACUUAUCACAAGUCAAAAUUCUGUGGUGUAGCUGUCCACGCCAUACAAGAGACACAGAACAUCAUAUUUCCUUCCAAGAAAGAAAACCUUCAACCUGAAGCAUUCACUAUAAAGAAUGAUUUAACCUCACAUAUGUAAAUUCUAGGUAAUUCCCAACCAGAAACAUCCAUUCUUCCUAUCUAAUCCAUGCCGCAUACAAUCUAAGAAAACUAACCCUAUUACUAAUAUGUGUACAGGGAUAAGUAAUUACUAUUUCAUGUUGAAUUCUUUACUUCAAUAAAAACAAAUAUAUUACCAAAAUGUUCUCAAGGAAAGCCCUGAAAGCCAUGUCUCACAAAUUUUAAACUGAAGAAUAUUCCUCUAAAAUAUCUACAUAUUGUACAUAACCUACAUAACUUGCAAAACUGAGCAAACCAGGAGUACUUACAUAUCCAAAAAAAAAGCUAGAUAAUUAAAGCAUCUUGCAUUGCAAAACUGGAGAUUGUAUGCCAAAAAAAAAAAAAAAAGACAGAGAAGAAGCCAAACAUUGAUUACCCAGUUGUAUGGACCCAAAUAAUAAAUAAUCCAGAUAUCAGAAAUAUUUAAAUCUAUUCACGCCAAGAUUUGUGACCUUUCUUAUUGUAGCCAAAUCCAUAGCACUGGCGCCAGAUUUUCCCUUAUCACUGUCCGGCUCACUAGAAAGGAUAUUAAAAGAAUGUGUAGGUCCUCCACAAAGGCCACAUUGAAUUAAACUUGGCUUGCAGUUCUGUUCAAGAGAAGCAGCCUUAAAAAUCAAGUACAUCUUCUCUGCAUCAGUCUGCAAAUGUAAAACACAUUUUAGGAUCCAAAAGAGCAGGAGACAAUAAGGCACUCAAACAAUUUUUAUUUCUCAGCACUCACUCAAUCGGACUUAACACAACAAAAAGUCCCUACUUCAACUAUCACAGUAAGAAAUUCAAAUAAAGCCCCCAAAUAUAAAUGUUACAUAGCUCGGUAGAGCCGUGGGGCAUCUCCACUAAAAUUGGUAAACUCAACUAGCAUGUAGGAGUGAUCGCAAUCAUCUUGUUUUCUAAGAACAUAAUAACACCACCAAAUAAACUCAGAAAUAUACAGAUCAAAUACUGCACUCCUUGUCAAUCUAACAGAAUCGAAGAAUGAUAAUCAUGCCAAUGGCCAAAUUGACAGUGAGACUUUAUAAAAGACAUGAAAUAGCAUGUUGCAGAGUCGGCUUGUUCCAUAUGGAAGCAUCUAAAAUAAGAGUGCUAAGACCUUGUAAGACUAGAGAAGAUGACGAUGCAAUUGACCACUUUCAUGAACAAGUCAGGCAGAAGCAAUAUAAGAAAAUGUUGAAAGUUAGUUGCAAUUAGUCCUGUGCAAUAAUGUGAGUACCAGGCAAUAUAUUUUAAGAAGAGGGCCUUGAAGGGCCAAGACGAAGGUAAACAGGAUGUAGAUUGCAAGAAGCAGCUUUCAAUUUCAUAAAGUAUAGCCCCAUAAAUGAUUGACCAAUACAAAUAGUAGAAACAAGAAUUUGCCAUUCACUUCAAUCACAAAGUAACAUCUGCUAAUCAUUUGGUAUUUGGUAUAAAACAAAAUUCACAGUCCAAAUAACAAUGCUAAUCAGGUCCACAUGAUAUUAUGAUUCAUAGUAUUUGGAAAAUUCCUUAAUCUAGAGUAUGACAUCUAAAUUGUGAAUCAUAGCUAAACAUUUACCAAAACCAUUUGUGCUCUCAGAUUGAAAGAGAAGCAUAACACUUGAUUAUCAAAAAAGAGGUAGUAGACUCCCCUGGAUAUGCAAAUUGGUUUUCAGAAAAUAAAGGAUACAAAAGAAAGAUUCCAUCCAAAAAGCAUACAACUUUGCUAGGGCGCGUAGAAAUAGAUGCUCAGGAAACAAAACAAAAAAAAGUAGAGUGGGAAUUAAUUUCUAUUUUUUUUAUAAGAAAACACUAUAUGAUAUAUACAUCCACCUUGAAUUGGGAGAUGGCUCCAAAAUUAGACUCUGGCAUAAUCUAUGGUGUGGAAAUAUGGCCUUUAAAAAAGCCUUUCCAGUUUCAUUUGAUAUUGCUUGCGCAAAGGAAACUUUUGUGGCUGCUUAAUUCGAACUUUCUAGAGGUUCCAUUUAGUGGAAUGUGAGCUUUGCUAGAGUGGCUUAUGAUUAGGAGAUGAAAAUCUUUGCCUCGUUCUUCAAGGUGUUGUAUUUAGUGAAAGUGAGACGGAAAUGUGAGGACAAGCUGUAGUGAGUCCCAUGGACAAUCUCCAAAAGUAACGCGUCAAUGUGGUUGAUAGGUGUUAUAUGUAUAAAAUGAAUGGGGAGUCUAUGGACCUUUUUCUUCUCCAUUUUGAGGCCGUUUGUGCCAUUUGCAAUGUUUUCUUCAGCCAAUUUAGGUCGUCUUAGGUUAUGCCUAGACGAGUAGUAAACUUGUAUGCUUGUUGGUGGCUUCUCGGCAGCACUCGAAGUGCUACGAUGUGGAAGAUGAUGUCUUUGUGUCUUUUGUGGUACCUAUGGAGGGAAAGGAAUGACCGAAGUUUUGAAUACCAUGAAAGGACUUUGGAGAAAAUUAAGUCUUUAUUUUACAACAUUUUGUAUCUUUGGAUAUUUGUUUCUUCUUUGGUGAUUAGUUAUCAUGAUUGUCUUGUUCUUUUUGCUCUUAUUAGAUAGGUAGCUUCUCUUGUGUACAUCUUGUGUACUUAGGAACGCCUUAUGCUUUUAAUGAUAUUUCAGUUACUUAUCAAAAAUAUAUAUAUACAGAUAUUAGCAAGUAAGAGCACUAGCAGCAGCUUCCCUAAAUUUUUCUUAAAUUUAAGAAACCAAACUACUUUUUUUUUUUUUGAUAACUAAAAGUCAAUUUUAUAAAAGCGUAAAGCACCCCUAAGUACACAGGAAAUAUACAAAAGGAACCCCUAACUAGGAGGCAAAAUAAACAAAAAAAUCACUGAAACUAAGAAACAACAGGGAAACAAACGCCGCUGUCCAUAGGAACAAAGUCUCAUAGAAAAAAGAUAAAAUAUCCUCCAACGACUUCUCCAUAUCCUCAAAGUUUCUGUCAUUCCUUUCUUUCCACAAACACCAAAAGAGGCACGUAGGAACCAUUUUCCACACAGCAGCGCUCCUAGGCCUACCCGAGGACCACCAGUAGCCUAAUAAAUCCACAAUUCAUCUAGGCAUCACCCAGGACAGCUCAAAACGACUAAAAAACGCACUCCAAACGGUGUACGCUACGUCGCAAUGGAGAAGAAGGUGAUCCACAGAUUCUCCAGUCCUCUUACACA